This 254-nucleotide ribosomal RNA is filed under the name uncultured bacterium. RNAcentral describes it as "partial 16S ribosomal RNA". It matches the Rfam family "Bacterial small subunit ribosomal RNA", at positions 524 to 777 of the family's 1533-position model. The record is from RNAcentral.
UACGGAGGGUGCAAGCAUUAAUCGGAUUUAUUGGGCGUAAAGGGCGCGUAGGCGGCCACGCACGUCCGUUGUGAAAUCGCCCGGCUCAACUGGGCGGGGUCAGCGGAUACGGUGUGGCUCGAGCAAGCUAGGGGGCAAUGGAAUUCCCGGUGUAGUGGUGGAAUGCGUAGAUAUCGGGAGGAACACCAGUGGCGAAGGCGGUUGCCUGGAGCUUUGCUGACGCUGAGGCGCGAAAGCGUGGGGAGCAAACAGGG